UUCCCCUAGUAACUGCGAGUGAAGCGGGAAAAGCUCAAAUUUAAAAUCUGGCGGUCUUUGGCCGUCCGUGUUGUAAUCUAGAGAAGUGUUACCCGCGUCGGACCGUGUACAAGUCUCCUGGAAUGGAGCGUCAUAGAGGGUGAGAAUCCCGUCUUUGACACGGACUACCGAGGCUUUGUGGUGCGCUCUCAAAGAGUCGAGUUGUUUGGGAAUGCAGCUCAAAAUGGGUGGUAAAUUCCAUCUAAAGCUAAAUAUUGGCGAGAGACCGAUAGCGAACAAGUACCGUGAGGGAAAGAUGAAAAGAACUUUGGAAAGAGAGUUAAACAGUACGUGAAAUUGCUGAAAGGGAAACGCUUGAAGUCAGUCGCGUCGUCCGGGAAUCAGCCUUCCUUCUGGUUGGUGUACUUCCUGGUCGACGGGCCAGCAUCAGUUUUGACCGGUGGAAAAAGUUCGAGGGAAUGUGGCACCUCCGGGUGUGUUAUAGCCCUCGUUCGUAUACAUCGGUUGGGACUGAGGAACUCAGCACGCCGCAAGGCCGGGAUUCGUCCACGUUCGUGCUUAGGAUGCUGGCAUAAUGGCUUUAAUCGACCCGUCUUGAAACACGGACCAAGGAGUCUAACAUGCCUGCGAGUGUUUGGGUGGAAAACCCGAGCGCGUAAUGAAAGUGAAAGUUGAGAUCCCUGUCAUGGGGAGCAUCGACGCCCGGACCUGACGUUCUCUGACGGUUCUGCGGUAGAGCAUGUAUGUUGGGACCCGAAAGAUGGUGAACUAUGCCUGAAUAGGGUGAAGCCAGAGGAAACUCUGGUGGAGGCUCGUAGCGAUUCUGACGUGCAAAUCGAUCGUCAAAUUUGGGUAUAGGGGGCGAAAGACUAAUCGACCCAUCUAGUAGCUGGGUUCCUGCGA
RNAcentral lists this ribosomal RNA (903 nucleotides) under Coprinellus domesticus. RNAcentral's name for it is "LSU rRNA". It matches the Rfam family "Eukaryotic large subunit ribosomal RNA", at positions 75 to 964 of the family's 3401-position model. Lineage: Eukaryota; Fungi; Basidiomycota; Agaricomycetes; Agaricales; Psathyrellaceae. The record is from RNAcentral.